RNAcentral lists this ribosomal RNA (425 nucleotides) under uncultured bacterium. RNAcentral's name for it is "partial 16S ribosomal RNA". It matches the Rfam family "Bacterial small subunit ribosomal RNA", at positions 354 to 796 of the family's 1533-position model. The record is from RNAcentral.
UUGGGGAAUCUUGCGCAAUGGGCGAAAGCCUGACGCAGCCAUGCCGCGUGAAUGAUGAAGGUCUUAGGAUUGUAAAAUUCUUUCACCGGGGACGAUAAUGACGGUACCCGGAGAAGAAGCUCCGGCUAACUUCGUGCCAGCAGCCGCGGUAAUACGAAGGGGGCUAGCGUUGCUCGGAAUUACUGGGCGUAAAGGGCGCGUAGGCGGACAGCUUAGUCAGAGGUGAAAGCCCAGGGCUCAACCUUGGAAUUGCCUUUGAUACUGGCUGUCUUGAGUUUGGGAGAGGUGAGUGGAACUCCGGUUGUAGAGGUGAAAUUCGUAGAUAUUCGGAAGAACACCAGUGGCGAAGGCGACUCACUGGCCCAAUACUGACGCUGAGGCGCGAAAGCGUGGGGAGCAAACAGGAUUAGAAACCCCAGUAGUCC